GAUGAAGAACGUAGCGAAAUGCGAUAAGUAAUGUGAAUUGCAGAAUUCAGUGAAUCAUCGAAUCUUUGAACGCACAUUGCGCCCCUUGGUAUUCCGAGGGGCAUGCCUAUUCGAGCGUCAUUAUCACCCCUCAAGCCUAGCUUGGUGUUGAGGCCUGCUGUCAAGGCAGCCUCUAAAAUCAGUGGCAGUGCUGUCAGGCUCUAAGCGUAGUAAAUCUAAUCGCUAUAGACACCUGGUGGACACUCGCCAGAACCCCCCCAUUUUUUAAUGAUUGACCUCGGAUUAGGUAGGGAUACCCGCUGAACUUAAGCACAUCAAUAAGCGGAGGA
Molecule: unclassified non-coding RNA, 329 nt
Filed under: soil metagenome
Description: partial contains 5.8S ribosomal RNA, internal transcribed spacer 2, and large subunit ribosomal RNA
Rfam family: 5.8S ribosomal RNA (bases 1-120)
Source: RNAcentral